This is a non-coding RNA of Arvicanthis niloticus (Nile rat), 908 nucleotides long. NCBI's taxonomy places the organism in Eukaryota, Metazoa, Chordata, Mammalia, Rodentia, Muridae. The record is from the annotation of a RefSeq genome assembly.
AUGGAGUCAGACACAUUGUUCUUAUGCGUGCUGCUGCUCUGGGUUCCUGGUUCCAAUGGGGACAUUGUGCUGACCCAGUCUCCAGCUUCUUUGGCUGUGUCUCUAGGGCAGACAACCACCAUCUCCUGCAGGGCCAGUGAAAGUGUCAGUAUAUCUAAGCAUAAUUUUAUGCACUGGUACCAACAGAAACCAGGACAGCCACCAAAACUCCUCAUCUAUGAUGCAUCCAACCUAGAAUCUGGGGUUCCUCCCAGAUUCAGUGGCAGUGGGUCUGGGACAGACUUCACUCUCACCAUCAAUCCUGUGGAGGCUGAUGAUGAUGCAAACUAUUACUGUCAGCAAAAAACUUAUUUUCCUUUUACGUUUGGAGCCGGGACCAAGCUGGAAAUCAAACGGGCUGAUGCCGCACCAACUGUAUCCAUUUUCCCACCAUCCAACGAGCAGUUAGCAACUGGAGGUGCCUCAGUCGUGUGCCUCCUGAACAACUUCUACCCCAGUGACAUCAAUGUCAAGUGGAAGAUUGAUGGCAGUGAACGACAAAAUGGUGUCCUGAACAGUCUGACGGAGCAGGACAGCAAAGACAGCACCUACAGCCUGAGCAGCACCCUCACGUUGACCAAGGAUGAGUACGAACGACAUAACCUCUAUACCUGUGAGGCCACUCAUAAGACAGGUCCCGUCAACAAGAGCUUCAACAGGAAUGAGUGUUAGAACCAAGGGUCCUGAGGCACCACCUGCUCCCCAGCUCCAUCCAGUCUUCCCUCCUAAGGUCUUGGAGACUUCCCCACAAGAGACCUGCCACUGUUGCAGGGCUCCAAACCUCCCCACCUCAUCCUCCUCCCUUUCCUUGGCUUUUAUCAUGCUAUUAUUUGGGGAAGAUAUUGAAUAAAGUGAAUCUUUGCACUUGA